RNAcentral lists this ribosomal RNA (527 nucleotides) under uncultured euryarchaeote. RNAcentral's name for it is "bacterial SSU rRNA". It matches the Rfam family "Archaeal small subunit ribosomal RNA", at positions 356 to 879 of the family's 1478-position model. Lineage: Archaea; Methanobacteriati; Methanobacteriota. The record is from RNAcentral.
UGCGCGAAAGCGUGACGGGGGAACCCCAAGUGCCGUUGGUCUUUGAUCGACGGCUUUUAGGGAGUCUAAGAAGCUCCCGGAAUAAGGGCUGGGCAAGUCGGGUGCCAGCCGCCGCGGUAAUACCCGCAGCCCAAGUGGUGGUCGCGAUUAUUGGGCCUAAAGCGCUCGUAGCCGGGUCAGCAAGUCCCUUGUGAAAUCGGGCGGCCUAACCGUUCGGCUUGCAAGGGAUACUGUUGGUCUUGAGGCCGGGAGACGUCUGAGGUACUCCGGGGGUAGCGGUAAAAUGCUGUAAUCCUCGGGGGACCACCAGUGGCGAAGGCGUCAGACGAGAACGGACCUGACGGUGAGGGGCGAAGGCUAGGGGAGCGAACGGGAUUAGAUACCCCGGUAGUCCUAGCUGUAAAGCAUGCGGGCCAGGUGUCUGGUGUUCCUUGAGAGCACCAAGUGCCGGAGGGAAGCCGUUAAGCCCGCCGCCUGGGAAGUACGGUCGCAAGGCUGAAACUUAAAGGAAUUGGCGGGGGGAACAC